Molecule: ribosomal RNA, 451 nt
Filed under: uncultured bacterium
Lineage: Bacteria
Description: bacterial SSU rRNA
Rfam family: Bacterial small subunit ribosomal RNA
Source: RNAcentral
UACGGGAGGCAGCAGUGGGGAAUAUUGCACAAUGGGCGCAAGCCUGAUGCAGCCAUGCCGCGUGUAUGAAGAAGGCCUUCGGGUUGUAAAGUACUUUCAGUCGUGAGGAAGGUGUUAAGGUUAAUAACCUUAGCAAUUGACGUUAGCGACAGAAGAAGCACCGGCUAACUCCGUGCCAGCAGCCGCGGUAAUACGGAGGGUGCGAGCGUUAAUCGGAAUUACUGGGCGUAAAGGGCACGCAGGCGGUUAAUUAAGUUGGAUGUGAAAUCCCCGGGCUUAACCUGGGAAUGGCAUUCAAGACUGGUUAGCUAGAGUCUUGUAGAGGGGGUAGAAUUCCAUGUGUAGCGGUGAAAUGCGUAGAGAUGUGGAGGAAUACCGGUGGCGAAGGCGGCCCCUGGCAAAGACUGACGCUCAUGUGCGAAAGCGUGGGGAGCAAACAGGGAUAGAUACC